This 253-nucleotide ribosomal RNA is filed under the name uncultured Gemmata sp. RNAcentral describes it as "partial 16S ribosomal RNA". It matches the Rfam family "Bacterial small subunit ribosomal RNA", at positions 524 to 776 of the family's 1533-position model. Lineage: Bacteria; Pseudomonadati; Planctomycetota; Planctomycetia; Gemmatales; Gemmataceae. The record is from RNAcentral.
GACGAACCGUGCGAACGUUGUUCGGAUUCACUGGGCUUAAAGGGCGCGUAGGCGGGUUGUCAAGUCAGGGGUGAAAUCUUUCGGCUCAACCGGAAAAGUGCUUCUGAUACUGGCAGCCUGGAGGGAGGUAGGGGCAGAUGGAACUUCCGGUGGAGCGGUGAAAUGCGUAGAUAUCGGAAGGAACGCCGGUGGCGAAAGCGAUCUGCUGGACCUCUUCUGACGCUGAUGCGCGAAAGCCAGGGGAGCAAACGGG